GCAAGUCGAGCGCGAAAGCACUUCGGUGUGAGUAGAGCGGCGGACGGGUGAGUAACGCGUAAGAAUCUACCUAGUAGUGGGGGACAACUCGAGGAAACUCGAGCUAAUACCGCAUACGCCCUAUGGGGGAAAGCGGGGGACCUUCGGGCCUCGCGCUAUUGGAUGAGCCUGCGUCGGAUUAGCUUGUUGGUGAGGUAAAGGCUCACCAAGGCGACGAUCCGUAGCUGGUCUGAGAGGAUGAUC
RNAcentral lists this ribosomal RNA (243 nucleotides) under uncultured bacterium. RNAcentral describes it as "partial 16S ribosomal RNA". It matches the Rfam family "Bacterial small subunit ribosomal RNA", at positions 57 to 305 of the family's 1533-position model. The record is from RNAcentral.